Molecule: ribosomal RNA, 253 nt
Filed under: uncultured bacterium
Lineage: Bacteria
Description: partial 16S ribosomal RNA
Rfam family: Bacterial small subunit ribosomal RNA
Source: RNAcentral
UACGUAUGGGGCAAGCGUUAUCCGGAUUUACUGGGUGUAAAGGGAGCGUAGGCGGCAGGGCAAGCCUGAUGUGAAAGCCCGGGGCUCAACCCCGGGACUGCAUUGGGAACUGCCCUGCUGGAGUGCCGGAGGGGCAGGCGGAAUUCCUAGUGUAGCGGUGAAAUGCGUAGAUAUUAGGAGGAACACCAGUGGCGUAGGCGGCCUGCUGGACGGUGACUGACGCUGAGGCUCGAAAGCGUGGGGAGCAAACAGG